AGCCACGCAGUGAGCUCAUCGCGAACUAUUCUUUCGCCUUUUACUAAAGAAUACCGUGUUCUUGCUGCAUUAAGUGGUAUAUGUUUAUUUUUGGAGGGAGUUUCUCAACAGGAACUU
This is a small nuclear RNA of Amaranthus tricolor (Joseph's coat), 117 nucleotides long. RefSeq annotates it as U5 spliceosomal RNA. The record is from RefSeq and is a predicted model, not a curated record. The transcript has a single exon. NCBI's taxonomy places the organism in Eukaryota, Viridiplantae, Streptophyta, Magnoliopsida, Caryophyllales, Amaranthaceae.